This is a long non-coding RNA of Neoarius graeffei (lesser salmon catfish), 324 nucleotides long. RefSeq lists it as uncharacterized. The transcript has 2 exons. NCBI's taxonomy places the organism in Eukaryota, Metazoa, Chordata, Actinopteri, Siluriformes, Ariidae. The record is from RefSeq and is a predicted model, not a curated record.
GACACUGAAAUCAAGGCCUGCAUGGCACAAAAAUUAAGACAUCCGGAGACGAGCAGAGAAGGAAAAAUGGGAACCAUCUGGAGGAGACCAAGAAGAUGAGGGAUGCGACGAUGCAGAAGUUACAGAAAAGUUCAAAGUUUGUUUAAAGGAAUAGUUUGACAUUUUGGGAGUUAGAUAAGACUGACACCAUUUUCAUGUCUGUUAAUUAACCCUCCUGUUGUCCAAGGAUGGAAGGAGAAAAGGUGAAGAAGGGAAUGAAGGAAAGGAGGAAUACUAUAUAUCAUGUAUUUAUGUUUAAGAUAAAAUAACAUGUUUUCAAUCAGA